RNAcentral lists this ribosomal RNA (254 nucleotides) under uncultured bacterium. RNAcentral describes it as "partial 16S ribosomal RNA". It matches the Rfam family "Bacterial small subunit ribosomal RNA", at positions 524 to 776 of the family's 1533-position model. The record is from RNAcentral.
UACAGAGGCCACGAGCGUUAGGCGGAAUCACUGGGCUUAAAGCGUGUGUAGGUGGAUGACUAAGUACCUUGUGAAAUCCCACGGCUCAACCGUGGAACUGCUUGGUAUACUGGUUGUCUUGAGGCACUCAGGGGCGAGCGGAACAGAUGGUGGAGCGGUGAAAUGCGUAGAUAUCAUCUGGAACGCCAAUGGUGCAGACAGGCUGCUGGGGAUGUACUGACGCUGGAGGCACGAAAGCCAGGGGAGCGAACGGG